AGAACGAACGCUGGCGGCAUGCCUAACACAUGCAAGUCGAACGAGACCUUCGGGUCUAGUGGCGCACGGGUGCGUAACGCGUGGGAACCUGCCUUUAGGUUCGGAAUAACUCCCCGAAAGGGGUGCUAAUACCGGAUAAUGUCUUCGGACCAAAGAUUUAUCGCCUUUAGAGGGGCCCGCGUAGGAUUAGCUAGUUGGUGGGGUAAAGGCCUACCAAGGCGACGAUCCUUAGCUGGUCUUAGAGGAUGAUCAGCCACACUGGGACUGAGACACGGCCCAGACUCCUACGGGAGGCAGCAGUGGGGAAUAUUGGACAAUGGGCGAAAGCCUGAUCCAGCAAUGCCGCGUGAGUGAUGAAGGCCCUAGGGUUGUAAAGCUCUUUUACCCGGGAUGAUAAUGACAGUACCGGGAGAAUAAGCUCCGGCUAACUCCGUGCCAGCAGCCGC
Molecule: ribosomal RNA, 446 nt
Filed under: uncultured bacterium
Lineage: Bacteria
Description: SSU rRNA
Rfam family: Bacterial small subunit ribosomal RNA
Source: RNAcentral